CUGUUUUCCAUCCCUUUUGCUGUUUUCUAGAGAAGCUCUGUCUCCUCCUGUAUGUGGAGAUGAAGGAGCAUGGAAGGCUG
This 80-nucleotide long non-coding RNA is filed under the name Cyanistes caeruleus (blue tit). Its description in RNAcentral is "lncRNA (ENSCCEG00000004010.1)". Lineage: Eukaryota; Metazoa; Chordata; Aves; Passeriformes; Paridae. The record is from RNAcentral.